Long non-coding RNA from Bubalus bubalis (water buffalo), 7630 nucleotides. RefSeq lists it as uncharacterized. The transcript has 2 exons. The record is from RefSeq and is a predicted model, not a curated record. NCBI's taxonomy places the organism in Eukaryota, Metazoa, Chordata, Mammalia, Artiodactyla, Bovidae.
UGAAAGGCAAGUUGCUCAGUCGUGUCCGACUCUUAGCGACCCCAUGGACUGCAGCCUACCAGGCUCCUCUGCCCAUGGGAUUUUCCAGGCAAGAGUACUGGAGUGGGUUGCCAUUGCCUUCGCUGAACUGAUGCACCUAAGUUCAGUUAAAUGUUCUGCAAAUGCAGGUGUCUCAAACCAAGCCUCCAGAACUACAGUGAGAGGGAAAGACACAGGGAGAGAGCGAGACAGGCUAACUUCUAAUUAUAAGGGAAACUUCUAAUUAUCUUUAUCCUAGGCUAACUUCUAAUUAUCUCUGAAGCCCUACUGGAAAAGUGCCUUAUAUGGUAGGCCAAAUAAUGACUUCCCAAAAGACUUCCAUGUCCUAACCCUUGGUAUCUGUGGAUAUUACCUUAUAUGACAAGAACCUAGAACUUUGCAGAUAUAACCAAGGAUACUGAGGUGGGAAGAUGAUCCUGGAUCAUCCAAGUGGGUGCAAAAUGCCAUCAUAUGUACCUUUAAAAGAGGGAGGCAGACAGGAUACAGAAGAGAGGAGAGCAAUGUGACUAUGGAAUGGGGAGAUGGAGGGGUCUCUGUCUCAUGCUGCCUUUCCUGUCCUGUCUCUACAGGGGUAGAGUUCAAACUUGAUAGAGCUGUGAUCAUUCCAGAGCCUGGCCUGGUCUCCUUUCCCAGCCUCAUCUCCUACUUCUCACUGACACUUAACUUCUCCACUGUGAUCCAAAAUCAUGUCUGUCCCAGGGGCAUGACAUGGUGUCUUGUUUUGUUUUGUUCCGCUGCUCCUGAUCCUCUUUACAAGUUACUUUCUCUGCAUUUGAAGCUGUUUUCUCUCAUCUCCGCUUCCCCAAACCCCUUAUCCUUCUAGAAUCUGAUCAAAUGUCACUACUCUCAAGCAUCCCACCACCGUGUUGAAUAACUUAUCAGAAAUCUGAUUGUGCUUAGCUUUCCCUUGUAUUUUUAUUUCAGUAAAUAGCAGGACUCUUUUCCUGUGUGGAUUCUGUGUCUUUUCAUCUGGCCUUGAAAUGGAAGCAGAAAGUGUUCUGUUAUGCUGCUUAAGAAAGGCAUUCAACAAAUACGAUGCAAUAAGAAAAUAACACCCAGCUACGACUUGAAUAAACUCAAAUUAUUUACUGAGAGCUCAAUAGCCAAACAAGCAUGUUGUACAGUAGUAUCCUUUUUUGCGGGUGGGAACAUGCCACAAGGCUUGUGGAAUCUUUGUUCCCUGCCCAGAGAUUGAAUCUGUGCCCUUGGAAGAAAAAACAUGGAGUCCUAACCACUGGAGCUCCAGGGAACUCACAGUACUAUCCCAGCGUGAGUGAAACAUCGAGCAGUUGAUCUCAUAAGAUGCAGCAUUCAUAUCAUAGUCAAUGAAACCUCUUUACUUAACGAUUUCCCCCUCUCCUUGCUUGAGUCUGGCAUUGGGCUGACUUAACAAAAUGGUCAUAUACACAAUAAAAUAGCUCAAAGUUUGGAAAUGUACCAAGGGUGAGGCUAUGGUUUCACCUUUAUUGUGUCAUGGCUCUGGGGUCCAGACUGUACCCAUUGGUGAUGACUGGCUGGAUGUUGUCACUCUUGGUCAUUGUGGGAAGAGGUAAAUCCCGAGACAGUGAGAGAUUGGCACCAGUGAGGGGAGGACUUCUUACCUACCAGGACUGGCAGUAAACUGGAUCCACCCUCCCAGGCCGGAAGAAGCCUAGAUGGUUUUAGGAGGGGGACCGAGCUGCUGCCGGCCAUCUGGAGGUGAGCCGAGGACAAUAGGCCGAGCCAGUCCCCGCUUUCUGGCGGCACUGAAGUUAUGGACCCGAUACGUGCUUGUCAGCUUCUGAGAGCAAGGUUAGUCAUCAUCAGAUCCAUUUAUACCUGUAACCUACCUGCCUCGCAUUGAUCAAGCUCCCUUUCACUGCUUUUACAAAAACGAGCAUGCUCUCCAAGCCUCAAGUAGCCUAGUUAAUAAGAUAUUUGCCCUAGCUGUGUUGUAGGAGCUUGGCGUCAGCUGUGUCCAGUUGGAUCUGCAGCCGAUUAAGACUGAUUAAGACCACCGACCCUCUGAAUAGGCAUGGGCAAUGACUGCUGGGUGAUCUUUUGAUGUUAGAGGCUGAAGCUCCACCUUCUGCUUGGGUUAACUGCUAUUUUUUUAGAGCUCAUGUCUCAUGGAGGAGCCAGGAACUUGGUUGCAUCUGCGCAAGAUGGUGAUGACCACACCUUUUCCCUCUCUCCAAUUACCUCUCCCAGUGCUUGCUGCACCUGGGCUUUCUUCCACGAGCCCUGUGCAUGUAGCAGGCAGAGCGCCACGCUGGGCUGCGAACCUUGGCAUCUCAGGGUUUGGAUUGCUGCGCAUUGGCCACCAAACCUGGUUUGUUAGCUUUUUGAACAUAGCCAGGCCCUGCGGAGAUGCUGGUGAAGUCUUCCGGUCGCCUGAAGAUGUGCAGUUUUUGGCUUCAUCGGUGAUGAGGUGAAUCUGAGACCCCUCUCCUUGUAUCUGGGCUGGCCUCAGCCAGGAGAGUGAGUGCAGCAGUGUGACACCAUGUAUCUUCUGAGGCUUGGGCACAAAAGGCUAUGCAGUGACUGCUCGUUUCUGCUGCCAUGCUGUGAGGAAGCCCAGGCCACACUAGGAAGCCAUGAGUAGGAGACUGGGCCACGAGCAAACACGAGCCUUCACAUACAUGAGUGAGGAAGCCUACAGGAUGACUCCAGCCCCACGAGAGCAACCCUGAGCAAGAACUGCCUCACUGAGCCCAGUCCACCCCUAGAACCAUAAGACAUAAUGAUAGUAGAUAACUGCUGUUUUAUGUGACUAAAUUUUGGCUGGUUUGUUACUCAGAAAUAUAAGAUUGGAAGAGGGAAUCAAGAAAGGCAUUAAUGACAUGGACUCCUUCCAGCUCUCUGCUCUGUUAUCUCUAGCACAGCUCUAUCAUCCUCUUAUAUCAAGAUGCUGCUGGAAUUCCAGUCAUCACAUCUGCAUUCCCAGCAACAGGAUGGAGGCAUAGAAGAAUACUGUACCUUCUCCCUUUCAGGGUAACUGUUUGGAAUUCCAUACAAUCCCAUUUGUGGCCAGAAAUUUAGUCACAUUGUCACUCUGAGGAGCAGAAAAAAAGUAUGUUAGUGGCUCAGUUAUGUCCACCUCUUUGCCACCCCAUGGACUGUAGCCCACCAAUUUCCUCUGUCUAUGGAAUUCUCCAGGCAAGAAUAUGGGAGUGGGUUGCCAUGCCCUCCUCCAGGGGAUCUUCCCAACCUAGAGAUUGAACCUUGGUGUCCUGCAUUGCAGGUGGAUUCUUUACCAUCUGAGCCACUAGGGAAGCCCUUUAGCAGCAGGGAAGACUGAAAAAUGAAUCCUUUAUUUUUGAUUGUAAUAUACCCAGCUAAAAUUUGGGCUUUUGGAGAAUGAGCAGAAUGGCUGUUGGAUUAGACAGUUGGUAGAUUUCAGAUCUUUUCAUGAGCCAAGUAUAUGAGUUUUAAUGCCUGGAAACUGGCACUGUUUUACUGUAUUCACAGUAUUCGGGGUUGAUGGAUAGAUGACUUCUGUCUACAACUUUCCAUAUAACUGGAAUGUCAGUAUGCUUAUUCUGUUAUUUCUGUGUUUCUUGGUAGUUGAUAAGCAAUGCCUGAUAAAACUCCUUCAGAUCUCCUCUUGAAACACCCACAGAUAACCACCAAAAAAUUGGCACAAAAGGCAUAAACUUAGGGAAAAACAAAGGUAGUUGAGACCAAGAAGACUGUACUUUUACUGCGACAUGGUUGGGUUUUGGUUUUGAAAAACAUUGUGUGACUUCACAUACUCCAUCCUCAGAGCCAGAACAGUGGAGAGAGGGGAAGACUUGGAUGAAGACCAAUGAUCCCCCUUAAUUUUGGGACUCGAGUCCCCCACAAUCAAUGCAUCAGGGAACUGGCUAUCAUUGGCCUAGGAAUCAUCUUCUGAACCAUCCACAUCUGUUCUGUGUUCCUUGAAUCUUCCCCCUACCAUGAUUCUUCCCCUCUGACUUUCAUUAUGGGGUUGAUUCAAGGAAGACAGCUUCCAGGAUUCAAUAUAGCUGAUAGGCUAUCUUGCAGGAUGGACUAUGCGGACCUGUGUCAUUGAAGAUUCCAUCACUUGAGAAAGGCCCUUAUAAAGGCAGAACCAGGAAAAAGGGAGAGAGGCCAGAGCAGACCAUGCUGGGGUGGGAUGGUCUGGCUCCUCAUGGUGAACUCUUCACUGAAAGACUCAGAAAAUGUGUAGGAGAAGAGUUCCACUGAUAAAUGUUGGAGGGCAAGACUGGGUGUACUAACGUUCUUUCUGGGUUUAGAUCAGAGAGAGGAAAGUGUCUAGUUCCCAAGUGGCCCCGGAGGGGCUGAGUGAGCCUCUCACCCUCCUCCCCUCUGUGUAAAGAGAGAGAGAGAGUACUCAUCUCAUUCAGAGCACAGCAAACGAACCUCCCUUAGACUCAAUCACAUGGAGAAAAUUCACAGACAUAAACCUUACCAAACCAGUAUCAUAUAUUUAUUUAUUUUUAAAGGACGUAGACAAAAAAUCUUAUGGGAGUUUCUCAGAGGCAUUAAAGAUUCUGUCUAAUGUGUUUGCUGUCCCACAAGCAUACCCACAGGCUUGUGUGAUGAGAACUGAUGUUCAGCAUGAGAUCCCACAGACACUGCAAGAUUUUCAGUCAUCAAAUAUUCAAUUAUGUUCUCUAUGUUCUAUUUACUAAAGCGGAGAAGCAGACAUUAAAAAAAGGAUUUCCAUAAUAAGAAUUGGUUUUAGUUUCACAGUUUUACUCUCCUGGUUGCAUUUGUUUGCUAGUGUAAUUUAGAGUCCCACCAGAAAGCAACCCAGACAAUGCCACGAACAAGGAGAAAAUGUUGUACAUUUGCUUUGGGGUGACCUAGAAACAGAAAAACAUAAAAAAUUUAACCACUCCACAGUCUCCAGUCACAGCAUUUCAAUCCUCUGUUCAUCUCUCCUUUUAUUGUUGGGUGCACUUCCUUUUAACCUGGGUCAGUGGAGAUAAAUGGUUAUAGAAUUUACUUCGUUACUGCUCAUUUUAGUUUGCCGUUCCAAUGUUUUGUUAUGAACUGAAUGCUUGGGUCCUUUCAAAAUUUGCAUAUUGAGGUCCUAAUCACCAAAGUAAUAGUAUUUGGAGGUAGGGGGGCUUUAGGAGGUAAUUAGGGUUGGAAUCAUUCAAGUUGGUGGGGCCUCAGGAUAGAUCUGUGGCCUUGUAACAAAAGGAGAAAUCUUUCUUUCCUUAGCGUGUGAGCAUACAGUGAGAAGGCAGCCAUUGGCAAGAAAGGCAGACAGUUCUCACCAGAAACUGAACUGGCUGGCAUCUCAGUCUUGGAUUUUCCAGCCUCUAGAACUAUGCGAGGGCUUCCCAGGCAGCUUCAGUGGUAAAGAUUCCACCUGCCAAUGCAGGAGACCAAGGUUUAAUCCUUGGGUUGGGAAGAUCCCCUGGAGAAGGAAAAGGCAACCCACUCCAAUAUUUUUGCCUGGGGAAAUCCCAUGGACAGAAGAGCCUGGAGGGCUACAGUCCAUGGGGUCGCAAAAAAGUCAGACAGGACUCAGCGACUAAAGGACAACAGCGCUGUGAGAAUGUAUAUUUCUGUCAUUAAGUCGCCCAAUUUACGAUACUUAGUUAUGGCAGCCCAAGUUAACACAGAUUUCUAUCUAAUAAAGAUGCUGAUGGUAGCUAACAUGUGGAUUCUAGCCAUUUGCUGUGAAAGUGACUCAGUCAUGUCCGACUCUUUGUGACCCCAUGGACUGUAGCCUGCCAGGCUCCUCUGUCCAUGGGAUUCUCUAGGCCAGAAUACUGGAGUGGGUAGCCGUUCCCUUCUCCAGGGGAUCUUCCUGACCCAGGGAUUGAAGCCUGGUCUCCUACAUUGGAGGCAGAUUCUUUAACAUCUGAACCACUAGGGAAGCCCAGCCAAUUGAUAGGCAUGGUCUUUGAUGGCUUACGUGCGUAAAUGUUUUUAAUUGCCAAGUCAGCACAAUGGGUCAGGUAUUAGUCACUGGUCCUAUUUGAAAGAGAAGCAGAGGUUAAGUUACUGAACCGAGGCCCUUUGGUCAGUAAGUGGCAGAGCUGGGACUCGAACCCAAGACUGUGAUCCGAAGGACUCUGUACUUUUCCAAUACUAGAUACAGUACUUCAGUUCUGAAAGCCAGCAGUUAAUAACUGUAGUUGGCAUGCAUAUUAUGCUUUGGUCUGUAAAGUGUGUAUCUGUUUGCAUUUGCUUCUCUCAGCCUCCCCAGGAAUGGCUGUUAAUUGAACUUGCCUCAAGCGUAGGCAUCCCUGGGUCACAUGGAGUGCUUUUUCCUCACCCACCCUUUCCCCACCUUCCAGACACUCCGAGCCCACCCUCUCCUUUCAGGCCUCACCAUGUCAUUGUAGGUUGGCUGUGUUCAAUGCCAGGACACAACAUGCUUGCCGUGGGCUCUUCUGGUUUCUGGAACCCACAUGCCCAUCAGGCCCUGUUGAUACCCUCCUGCUUCUCUCAACCAGUGGCUGCUGGGAGUUGAUGUAUAAAUUCCUUGGCCCCCUCGCUCUGGGAGGCAUGCUUCUGAGGAUGUUCCUCACAGGCUUGUAAGUUCUCCUUCUGGGUGGUGUGGCACUCUGAUUGCUUGUAGGGGUAACUUGCUUGAGUACACAGACUUUAGAGCCUGCCUUCUCUUCCCUUGUCCCCCACCCCCAAAUAAAGUACCUGCGCUUGAAUUCCUUGUCUCACAUUCUGCUUGAAGUGAAGUGUUAGUCAUUCAGGUGUGUCUGACUCUUUGCCACCCUAUGGACUGUAGCCUGCCAGGCUCCUCUGUUCAUGAAAAUUUCCAGGCAAGAAUACUGAAGUGGGUAACCAUUCCCUUCUCCAGGGGAUCUUCCUGACCCAGGGAUCGAACCUAUGUCUCCCGCAUUGCAGACAGACUCUUUACCAUUUGAGUCACCAGGGAAGCCUAGGGAAGAACAAAAUCAAGGUGGCCCUGUGUUCUUGGGUGACCAUGAUGAUGUACUUUAUCUGGCACUUUAGCAUACCGCUAUUCUAACUUCUCUCCCCAGUCAUGUUGUGAGAGUAUAUUUUCCCCUUCCUGACACCUAGACUCUCAUGUGUGUGUGUUUCUAUAUAUUCAUCCACACCAAGUGGCUUGUGAGAUCUUAGUUCCCCAACCAGGGAUCGAACUUGCAUCCCCUGCCUUGGAAGCACAGAGUCUUAAUGGCUGGACCACCAGGGAAAUCCCUGAGUCUUGUGUGUUUUGAAUUCAAGAGGGAUGUUAAGGAGAUGGGCCAGCCUAUUCAUUGGAGCCUCUGGGGACAGGGCUGGGUGCAUGCCAACACUCUGGGCUCUUACAGUGACUCACAUAGCCCUCGCUGUGUAUCGCUCAUUCUCACUCUUAAUCACAGGCUCUCUUGAGAUGCUUGAUGAACUCUUGAGUCUAGGUUUGGUCACUCAUUUGAAGCAUCGGUUAUCUUGAUAGCAGCAGCUCUCUCACCCUGAUUUUGAAUUUCUCCUGGAACUGAGUGCUUCAUAGAUGCUUCCCAGAUGCUUGAGUUUGGAAGUGUGGAUACUGGUUUUGAUUUUGUAAGUUAUUCCACAUGUGCUGUGUGCUUUCCCUUGAAUAUCUGUCAUAACUGGGGUUGUUAUUUAUUAAAAGUUAUUAUUAAAGUUAUUUAUCUAAAGUUCA